AGAGUUUGAUCCUGGCUCAGGACGAACGCUGGCGGCGUGCUUCAUACAUGCAAGUCGAGCGGAAAGGCCCUUCGGGGUACUCGAGCGGCGAACGGGUGAGUAACACGUGAGUAACCUGCCCCUAACACCGGGAUAGCUCCGGGAAACCGGAAUUAAUACCGGAUACGACCUAGGUCGGCAUCGACCCUGGUGGAAAGGAC
Molecule: ribosomal RNA, 200 nt
Filed under: uncultured bacterium
Lineage: Bacteria
Description: partial 16S ribosomal RNA
Rfam family: Bacterial small subunit ribosomal RNA
Source: RNAcentral